This 24-nucleotide non-coding RNA is filed under the name Cricetulus griseus (Chinese hamster). The record is from RNAcentral. Lineage: Eukaryota; Metazoa; Chordata; Mammalia; Rodentia; Cricetidae.
GCCGCUGCAGGUCGGAGACACUGU